RNAcentral lists this transfer RNA (25 nucleotides) under Podocarpus matudae. Its description in RNAcentral is "partial tRNA-Leu". Lineage: Eukaryota; Viridiplantae; Streptophyta; Pinopsida; Araucariales; Podocarpaceae. The record is from RNAcentral. RNAcentral also lists the same sequence under 2 other names.
UCCCCAGGUUCAUUUCCAAAAUACU